GGAUGUGAGGGCGAUCUGGCUGCGCCAUCUGUCACCAUAUUGACCACCAGGGUGGAGUCAGCUGAUCUGGCUGGCUAGGUGGGAGGCCCCUUCCUCCCUCACUGCUCCAUGUGCAUCCUUCAUCCCUCCCGAAGCUGCACUCUCUGUCACUCCAUCACUCCAUCGAAGAAGAUGACCACCCCCGAUAGAAGAGAACCAUUUCCUCAGUCAAGGGUAUACAAUAGCUGCCCUCCCCUGCUAGAACCUCCAAACAAGCUCUCAAAGUCCAUAUAUAUGCAUAUAUUUAGAAACAGAGAAGCAAAAUAAAAAAAUUGAAUUAAAGUUUGAAAGAUCUGAUGCAGCAAGUUUUAAAU
Molecule: non-coding RNA, 353 nt
Organism: Heterocephalus glaber (naked mole-rat)
Lineage: Eukaryota; Metazoa; Chordata; Mammalia; Rodentia; Bathyergidae
Source: Rfam